Molecule: long non-coding RNA, 846 nt
Organism: Spinacia oleracea (spinach)
Lineage: Eukaryota; Viridiplantae; Streptophyta; Magnoliopsida; Caryophyllales; Amaranthaceae
Exons: 2
Source: RefSeq, a predicted model, not a curated record
UCCUAAUUUCUGCUCUCUCUCUCCUCCCUCGACCUCUUCGCCCCUCCCUCUCCUCAAAAUCUCCAUCGCCUUCGGUCAUCCUCGCCGCUUCUCACUCUCCUCAAAUCUCCGCCUUCCUCUCCACUUCAAUGGUUGUAGGCUUUAGGCCACAGCAAGAUCCACCGCGGCCAUUCUGAUUUUUGAUCUCGUCGGCGCUGCUCAUCAAGAUUCGAGAAGGAGGAGAACGGCGAAGGAAGGCGAGGAAGGCGGAGAGCAGAGGCGGCGAUUCACCUCCUCACAAAGCUGCGGUGAGCCAUUGUGGUAUCGGCUUUGGCCUCGACGUUAUCGCGGUGGCUGCAACGGGACGGGGAAGCGUGGAGUAGAACGACGAAGGAAAGAGAAGAAGGAGAAGUCGAUUAUGAUGAUAAAUGGCGAAGGAAACAGCGUCGUGAAGGAGGUUGGGCUUUUGAUUCAUCAACACCAGUAGAUCCAUCGUCACCAUCGACGAACACCCUCGGAUUCAUCGACGACGGCCGCAGAACCAUAAUCUGCUCUCGCUCCUCUUCUUUGUUGCUGCCCAUUAAUUGUUUCUUUGCGAGGUGGCCGUUGUCGGUGGUGGUGGCCGUUGUGUUUCACAGCCGCGAGGAGAGGAAGGAUAAGUCCCUGCCUGUUGCUGGUUCUUUAUGCGUGUUGUUUUGUAGUCUACCCUUGUUGUUCGUUUACUUUUAAUUAGUUUUAUUUCAUAACUAUUUUGUAUUAUUGAUUUUGUUUUAGUUACUAAUAAUGUUGUUUUAGUUAUGAUUUAUUUCGUUGUAGUUAUGAAUAAUUUGGGUUUAGUUAAGAAAUAAAAUGUUUUAGUUAUAUGGA